Long non-coding RNA from Alligator mississippiensis (American alligator), 522 nucleotides. RefSeq lists it as uncharacterized. The record is from RefSeq and is a predicted model, not a curated record. The transcript has 2 exons. NCBI's taxonomy places the organism in Eukaryota, Metazoa, Chordata, Crocodylia, Alligatoridae.
CUGAAGCUAAUUUACAGCAGCUUGAAAUCCAGCCCUAGAAAUGGAAGGUGUAGCCGGAUGAGGGGAACUGGAGUGAAAGGGUCGUCUUUCAGGAGGGACCUACUUUUGGACAGACUCAAAGGCUGAGGAAUUAAUGACAAGGCACAGCAUCCUGGCAGCUGAAAUACAGAGUGCCAGCCUGCAAUACCAUCCUCUCAACAUGCUUGCUAAAGAUUUCUUCUCUACAAGACAGCCUGCCUGCCACAUCUGCUCUUUGCUGUGAUUCCCUUCCAGGCUUUGUGCACCAUCUUAUAGUCAUGUCUGCUGGGUGAGCACUGAACUAACACAUUUAGAAGAACUCUGCAAUUUUGACACAUCGCAUUUCAAGUAUCAGCUUGCUGGAAGUGCAGUGGAGGGGGCUGAGGACGGAAGCAGUGCAUGUUUUGCCAACACACCUGCACAAGCUUUGGGCUCUCCUGGACAAUAUGUGAACUAAUGAUGUAUAACCUGUAGAGGCUGGCAAUACACUCUCUGAAGACUAUA